GGACUGUAGCUCAAUGGUAGAGCGCCUGCCUUGCACAUGUGGGGUACUGAGUUCGAUCCUUAGCACCA
This 68-nucleotide transfer RNA is filed under the name Marmota monax (woodchuck). RNAcentral describes it as "tRNA.Ala". Lineage: Eukaryota; Metazoa; Chordata; Mammalia; Rodentia; Sciuridae. The record is from RNAcentral.